This 1110-nucleotide long non-coding RNA is filed under the name Homo sapiens (human). RNAcentral's name for it is "HSALNT0194142". The record is from RNAcentral. Lineage: Eukaryota; Metazoa; Chordata; Mammalia; Primates; Hominidae.
CUCAGUCCCAGGAUUAAGUUACUAAUCACUUGAUGUUGUCUUAAUUGAAAGGCAGAUUACCCAGGUUUGAACAGGCUAGUCCCUUCUGCCUUCUGGGCAGGUCACAUCUGAAAGAUUAUCCUCUUUGAAUCAGUUUGAAUGUUCUAGUGACCAGGCCACACAGUUUCUCUUGACAUUUAAAAAUGAAGCUUCCAGUCUUGUCACUAAUGGAUUUGGGGUCCAGUACCCUUAAAAUCACCUCAGAGCUGCCUGAAUCCAUAGACUACUUGCAGAAUCACUGGUUUUACUUGGAUCAAGCCAUCUGAGAAGGAAAAAGCAUUGGAAAUGGAGGAGACUGUCAAGGACAAUAAUAAAUGAUGGUUGGCUGAAAUAAAAACUCAAAGCCCCCACAAUAUUGAACCACCAUUCCAGACCCAGCCAAGGUUUGGAACAUAAAGUGAGCUGAAUGAAUCAGCCUGCAGGCAACCCAGAGAAAGUAAUUGUUCAUCCUAGCAGCACGGCUGCUUUUCUGCUUAGCAUCUGAACAAGUUAAUUUGGAAACACAGCCUUCUGGAAAGAAAUGGCGCUUCUCUCAGCAUCCCAUGGAUUCAUGAGGAGCUCCUUGAAUGCAAAUAUUGCCUGAUAUUUUCAUGGUAAGUUCUGAGCAAAUAGGUGCUGGACGAAUGAAUUACUGAAUAAGUUCAAAGCUCUUGGAGAGCGGAAACCAUGAUGAAUACUCCUUUAUUUAUUCCAUGUAACACUCCAGACAAGAGUAGGCUUUGAUUCUGUCGUAUUGAAUUCAAUUACCGGUUCAGUAGGAGAGACAAGAUAAAUUGGCAGGCAACCCAUGUGUAUCAGUAUACUCACAAAUGUGGAGUAUUAGGAUAUUAGGAUAAAAUAUGCUCAGAGUUGAGAGAAUUUAAUGAAACCCAUGAUACUUAGGUAGGACAAAUGUCUUCAGACAGAGAAAUUAAGGUUUACUAUCACAUAUGUGAACCCUUGAGGGAGAAUGGGAGAAACAAGAAAUGAUUACAUUAUUGUGGAGGUCUCCAGACACAGGAGAAGAGCGACGGCGAAGAAAGGAAGGAAGGAAGAAAGAAAAGGAGCCUGAAUUUACACUCACCGCUUCAA